GGAACGCGUCCACAUACACGUCGACAACAAGGGACACGGCCACGGACACACGUCAAUUUCAUGGUCACGGUCAUCGACAUGGAUCUGCAAAUAAAGGUCUGCCUCCGCCAGUAGCUUGCCUGGCGACCAAAAGCCAAUUCUAAUCUCAAACAGAUCUACGAAAGGUCAGCUGCUGCCGCCGCCUGCGGUGGUUUGUCAAAUCUCUCCUAACGUCGUCAUCUGCCUGCCACAUCGCCGUUAACCUCUGCCAUGCGAAGAGUUCGGCCGCCGCUACUAUCUGGUCAUGUAGCACCAAUAAAGCUCCCCUGAGUUAUUUUUACGUUAUGCUAUAUAUGAAGUGUGUGUAUGCGUCAUGUGUGUGAAGAAGUUGUCGCUGUGAUAGUGGAUUUGAAUUCACUUAACUUCUGGUGGUCUCGCAAUUGCAAUUGGAUGU
This is a long non-coding RNA of Rhodamnia argentea, 433 nucleotides long. RefSeq lists it as uncharacterized. Lineage: Eukaryota; Viridiplantae; Streptophyta; Magnoliopsida; Myrtales; Myrtaceae. The transcript is spliced from 3 exons. The record is from RefSeq and is a predicted model, not a curated record.